GAUGAAGAACGUAGCGAAAUGCGAUACUUAGUGUGAAUUGCAGAAUCCCGUGAACCAUCGAGUCUUUGAACGCAAGUUGCGCCCGAAGCCAUCAGGUUGAGGGCACGUCUGCCUGGGCGUCACAUAUCGUUGCCCAAUGCCUAUUGCAGUGCAAUAGGAAUUUCUAGGGCGAAUGAUGGCUUCCCGUGAGCGUUGUUGCCUCGCGGUUGGUUGAAAAUCGAGUCCUUGGUAGGGUGUGCCAUGGUAGAUGGUGGUCGAGUUAGAACGAUACCGAUCAUGUGCAUGCUCCCCAAAAUAUGGCCUCUAUGACCCACACGCGUCUUUUGACGCUCAUGACGAGACCUCAGGUCAGGCGGGGCUACCCGCUGAAUUUAAGCAUAUCAAUAAGCGGAGGA
This 395-nucleotide unclassified non-coding RNA is filed under the name soil metagenome. Its description in RNAcentral is "partial contains 5.8S ribosomal RNA, internal transcribed spacer 2, and large subunit ribosomal RNA". The stretch from base 1 to 122 matches the Rfam family "5.8S ribosomal RNA", at positions 35 to 154 of the family's 154-position model. The record is from RNAcentral.